Molecule: long non-coding RNA, 1407 nt
Filed under: Homo sapiens (human)
Lineage: Eukaryota; Metazoa; Chordata; Mammalia; Primates; Hominidae
Description: HSALNT0074594
Source: RNAcentral
AAAGAAGAGCCAGCAUUGCAUGGCAUACCUGGGGUACAGAUGAGUGUAAGGAAUGAAAAUUUAAUAAGGAGGAAGACUCUGCAACUCACUGCUCCUGAAACACAAGAUGAACCCCUUUAUCUUUGACCCCGCCUUCAUGUCCUGAAGACUGCUAGCUCUUCGCAUACUACCAUUCUCCCUAGUGCAAUUCAUGCCAUAGGUAUUGGUGACUUCCACUCUGGCCUCUCCGUUUCUUGAAUUUCUCUCCUCCAAUACUCUUGUCCUACAGUCUUCCUUAGGCACUCAUUCUAUUGUCUGUACCCUAGAUCAGCAGUUCUCAAGAAGUAAUCCAAUGUAUCCUAGGUCUCCAAGAUACUUUCAGGGGGCUUAUGGUGUAAAACCAUUUUUAUACUACUACCAAGAUGUUACUUACCUUUUUUCUUUUUCUCAUCUCACAUGUGUACAGUGUUUUCCAGAGGUUACAUGACAUGUAAUGCCACAACAGAUUGACUACAGAAGCAGGCCAUGCAGAAGUAGAUGGUUGAGGAUGUGUAGAAGGAAACACUGGAGAGGCACAAGCACAGGCACAGUCCGCACAACUUCUGACCACCAUUCAUGUUGUCUUCUAGAGAGGGUCCUUGUAGAGCAAAUUCGCCUUCCCACCUGUAACUUGCCUUGUUUAGAAUUAAACCAUUUUUAUUUUUAUUAAAUAUUGAAAAUCAAAACUGAAUAUACAAUCUGUGUACACAAGAUUUGUGUUUUGUGCAUGUCUGUGUGUUUGUGUGUGCGUACGUGCACAUGUGCCUUUGGAGGAGCUCAAAGUGAAUAAGGAGCCAAGUAAGUAUGAGAGAUGAACAUCAUCCUCAUGAUGUAGAUGCUGCUGUAGCAACAAGAGAUGCCAUCAGUUAGCUGUCCAUAAGAUAGAUCUGCGAUUUCUAAAUCUGGAGAUUGCAUACCCUGUCUGAAAAAUGUUGAGCAUGAGCCACCAAUAUUUUCGAGUAAUAAACAUGCAUUUGAAAACAUACACACAAUUAGAAAUGAAAGUGGAUGUAUUGAAAGUUAAAUGUAAUUAUUAUAAACUACUUUUUAUUUGUAGUUUAUUAAUGGAAUGAUUAUAGAGAACCCUUUCCUCUCACUAGUGUAAUAAUUUAAUGUAAGCAAUGUGAUGGAAUAGCUCAUUAUUUUCAAACUCUUGGAUUACAGUUUUUCAUGUAGAGAUUUGAGGAUCACGUUCACUGUAUUUGGAUACUCGUUUGUACUUUCUGUCAUAGGUUAAAGAGAUACUUCAAAAAGAUAACUGCAUGCAAAUGGAAGGGAUGCAGUGUUAGUUGUACUUACCAAAUUGUGACUUUCAUUUUCAUUUCAGGUGCUAAUCAUGUAAAUGUUUUAAUUAAAGUUUGGCUAGUAAGUUCUCUGAUAUUUAUUAUU